AUGCAAGUGGCUGAGAGGCACACUUACUGCCCCUUCAUGAUUCACCUCUGCACUCAUGUCAUGGGCACGCUCUUAAGAGCUGCUGGCGCCCCACAACUGACCAGGGUGGUGUACUGGAGCCAGGCCCUUUCUGCCUAAGCAGGACACUCAAAGAGGCAGUCUUUGCCCUGCAGCCCUCCACUGGCCCAGCCAACACUCUCUCAGAGCUUAGACAUCUGCUUCUCAGAGCACCCAAACUGACAGGGUGUAUCCAGUAUAUUUGAUUCUGAAGCUAGAGAGACCCAGCUGGCCAUACACAUUGGGGAAUCAUUGACAGAUGGCAGCUGAGAUCUGAGAGCGGUUGACCUCACUUCACAAGGUUGAGUGGAAUUAGGAGGGACAAACUUCUGUGACAGGAGCCUGAGGAGCACCAAACAAAGAGCAAGAGACAUCGGGGAUGCCCACACACAGAGGAAAGGCCACGUGAGCACAUGGCUAGAAGGUGAACAACUACAAGCCAAGGAGAGAUGCCGCAUGGGGAACUAAACCUCUUGACAUCACGAUCUUAAACCUCCAUCCUCCAGAACUGUGGUUGGACUGAAAUCCAGUAUGAAUCAUAUAAGAGAGAUUUAGAAGCACGUGAAGAUAAAUGUUUCCCAUGUGACACAGAGCAGCACAUCUGGAAGGAUGAAAUUUAAUGAUUUCCAAAGCACAAUUUUCCCAGUCUGGCAAAGAAUUUUUGAAGCACAUAGCACCUUCAGAAUGUAUGCAAACAAGGAACUGACAUUGAAGAAACUGGACAGUAGCCUUCUUUCCCUGGAACAAAAUGAUAUUGGAUACAUUUGCUAUAUUGCCAGCUCUUACUCAUUGUGCUGGGAAUUGCUUUCAAGUCCUGUGACUCCAGGGAGAACCCAGCCCAUUUCACAGGAUGUUUAAUGUGUGCUCACAAAUAGAUUCCAUCAGCUCUCCUACGGCACCCAGGAGGUCAGCUGCCCCAUGGAGGAAGCAAGAUUUGUGUGCAUUAGAAAUAAAUGAACUGUUGGAGAUAGGAUCUUCUUUGUUGACAAAACAAGUCUUGAAGAUAAGAGAUCAAGGCUUCUAGUUAAAUGGAGCAGUGACCUUAUCAGAAAUCUCAAAGCAGAAAAGUCUGUCAGAAAAACAGCAUCAGAUCAAGGAAACCAAGUACAUGGAGCUAAUUUUUGACUCUAAAGAAAGGCAAGAUUAUUUAAUAAUAAUGAUAAUGGCACAGUUUGUUAACUAUGUGAAGAAAAUCAAAUAUAGCUUUAUCUCCAUUAUACAACCAAAUAUAUUCUACAUGGAUUAAAAUAUUAAAUGUAAAAGUUAAUCAAACCAAUAAGUCAAAAAAGAAAAAAAUAGAAAAAAUAUCCAUAAAAAUUUAUUGAAUUACAAAAUGGUCAUAAAAUAUAUUAGUUCAAAACAAUGGAAUAAUUCAUAAAGGAUGACUAUUAUAGAGAUUUUCCCGUAGAGAGUUCUAAAAUUUAUGUGACUCAAAAAAUGCCUUAUAUAAAACUAAUAUCAAAUAAAAAUUUUCAGAAAAUAUUUGCUUGCAUAAGGCAAAAGAGCUAAUAACCUUAAUGUAUAAAAGUUCCUUCAAACUAAGUACCAUCUCAGAAGAAAAAAAAUCUCAAAGUGGUAAUCAAAUAAUAAAAAUUGUAAUACCAGGUCUCGAUGACUUAGCUAGGUGUGGUGGUGCACACGCCUGUCGUCCCAGCUACUCGGGAGACUGAGGCAGAAGAAUCACUUGAACCCAGGAGGUGGAGUUUGCAGUGAGCCAAGAUCACGCCACUGCACUCCAGCCUGGGGACAGAGCGAGACUCUGUCAAAAAACAAAACAAAACAAAAUAAAACUUCCCUUAAUUCUGCAACAUUUCUGAUUAGACCAAGUAGCAUCAGGAAAGAUACAGAAGAACUUUCCCUCCUCCAACAGCUAAGUUCAACUAAAUUUCUGGACACUGUAUAUAUUUUAACCUCCCCCACCUAAAAUAAAAGAAAAAAAAGAGAAGACUUUGCAGUAUGGAGAAAAGGUAGACAAGCCAGGGACCUUGGUCUCAAAGAACAACAUGGUGGUGGGUUUCCUGGGUUUUCUUUUCCAUCAUAUAUCUCAGACUUGGAGAUGAAAAAUCAGCAAUCCAGAAACAACAUUGGAUGGAGAAAAAGCUGCAAUGAAAGAUUGCCAUCUCUAGCAAAGGAGCAGAAAAGGGGCAGACUAUCAAGGCAGAAAACUUUCAGGCUGUAACUGCUCUACUCCAACCACAUCCAGAAAACAAAACUAAACAAACAAACAAAAAAAACUUGUGGCCUCAUUUUCACUCAUGCUAACAAAGCCCAAGUGGGGAGUCUAAACUGCCACCCUCACAAAGCUGUAAAUAGGUGCCCGCAAUACCCCUACAGGAGUGGUGUCAGAGGACAUGGAAAAGGGAGCCAAAACUUUCAUUUCUGUUAGCCAGUAACAAGAGUCUACUGCAGUGUAAAUGGAGACCAUAUGGGGAACUUGGACUUUCAUGCUACCUGGCAGUGACGAGGCAGCCCUUCUUUCCCUGAUGGAAUGGCAUCAGAGGAUCCCAGUGGGAAGUGAGGACAUUCACUACCACUAAUUAGUAACAAGGCCACCACCACUAUGGUGUCAAUAGAGAUCACAUGGAGAGGCAGCACAAAUAUCUAUGCCCAGUAGUUAUUAAGACCUGCUUCUCUCAGCAGAGUCAGGUGUCAGUGGAGGAGAAGUGAAGGAUCUGGAAGUGAAUUCUACCUUCCAGUAGAAAGCUGUGUUGAGCCACUUUUCCCCCUUUCAAAGCAGUGCCUAAAAAAGCAGCUGGAGGAUAAAGUUUGAAUAAGAUCCAAAGACUCUUAACGUAAUAUGAAUGUGACCAGGUUUCAAUCAAAAAUUGCUUGUCAUACAAAUAACAAGGAAAAUUUCAAAAAGGAUAAAAAGUAAAUUCAUUAUAUGCCAAUAGUGAGAAGGCAGAGCUAUUAAAAUAAUCUGACAGAGAUUGUAGAGCAACUGUGGUAAAAAUACUUCAACAAUCAAAACAUGCUUGAAACAAAUUUAAAAAACAGAGUUUCAGCACAGAUAUAUAAGACACAAAGAAGAACCACUGGACAUUUUAGAACAGAAAAAUGUAAUAACUUAAGUGAAAGCUUAAUGGAUGAUAUCAACAGCAGAAUAGAAGAGACAGAAGAAGAAAACAGGUAGCUUUAAGAUAGAAGAAGAAAAAUCACAUAAUCUAAACAACAGAGAGGAUAAAGGAAAAGAAAAUGAACAGAGCCUCCAAGAUCUGUGGACUAUAACAAAAUAUCUAGCAAAGACCUGGAAGAAGAGAAAUAGAGUGGGUCUAAAAAUGUGCUCCAAGUACACAUGGUCACAAAGAUGAGAACAAUAGACACUGAGGACUACUUGGAGGGGGAGACUGGGAGGAGAGUGAGGGUCAUAAAACUACCGAUUGGGUAUCUUGCUCACUGCCUGGAUGAUGGAAUCAUUUGUACACCAAACCCCAGUACUACACUGCCCAUGUAACAAACCUGCACAUAUACACCCUGAAUCUAAAAUAAAAGUUGAAUAAAUACAUAAAUAUAUAAAAAAUAAAAAUGUACACCAAAAAAUAGCAUCUAAAAUCUACCAAUUUCAUUAGAGACAUAAACCUACAGAAUAUGAAUAAAUAUGAAUGAACCCUAAACAGGGUAAUCACAAAGAUAUUCACACCAAGUUCCCUUGUAAUUAAACAUCUGAGAACUAGAAACAAAGAAAAAAUUUUGAAAGCAAUCAGAGAAAAGACACUUGACCAAUACGAGAAAAGCAAUUAAAAUGACAGAUUUCUCAUCAGAAACCACAGAGGAGAGAUGGAAGUGGCACGAUAUUUUUCAGGUGUCAAAAGAAAAGAGCUCUCAACCUAGGCUGACAAUCCUCUACCCAGGAUGAAAUCCUAGUUUCACAAUUGCAUUAGUCCAUUCUCACAUUGCUAUAAAGAACUACCUGAGACUGGGUAAUUUAUGAAGAAAAGAGCUUUAAUUGGCUCAUAGUUCUGCAGGCUGUACAGGAGGUGUGACUCAGGAGGCCUCAGUAAACUUAGGAUCAAAGCAGAAGGCGAAGGGGAAGCAGACACAUCUUCAUAUGGCAGAACAGGAGAGAAAAAGAGUGAAGGGGAACGUGCCACACACUUUUAAACAACCAGAUCUUGUUAGAACUCUAUCACAAGACAGCACUGGGGGAUGGUGCGAAACCAUUGGAAACCACCCCCAUGAUUCAAUCACCUCCCACCAGGGCCCUCCUCCAACACUGCGGAUUACAAUUCAACAUGAGAUUUGGGUGGGAGACAGAAACAAACCAUAUCAACAAUCCUAUACCCUGAAUAUUCAAUCCUAUAACCAAAGUGAAAGGGAAAUCAUAAUAUUCUUAAGCUGAAGAAAAAGUAAGAUAAUUUACUAUCCUAUCCAAAAAGUAUACCUAAAGAAAGUUCUCUAAACAGAAGGAAAACAAAAGAAAGACACCAGGAAAGGAAGAAAACAGAAAAAAAUAAGGUAAAUAAAAUGGGAUUUCCUUCUCCUUUGGGGUUUUCUAAAUUAUGUUUGAUCGUUAAGUCAAAAUUAUAACACUGAUUUUAUUCUAAAUUUAUGUAGAGAUAAUAUUUAGAACUAUUAUUAUAUAAACAUGGGACAGUAAAGGGGCAUAGAAAAGAGGUAAGGAUUAUAUAUUUCACUUCAACUGAAAAAAAAUGACAUCAGCACCUUGUAAUAAGUUUAUGUAUAGAAAAUUGUAUAUUCAGGCGUACCCAUUUUACCGCACUUCGCUUUAUGGUGCUUUGCAGAUAUGAUGUUUUUUACAAAUUGGAGGUUUGUGGCAACUCUGCAUUACGCACAUCUAUGGGUGCUGUUUUCUUAACAGCAUGUGCUCACUUAGUGUCUUUGUAUCAGCACUUUUUAGCAAUAAAGUGUUUUGUAACUGAGGUAUGUACAUGUUUUUAGAAAUAUGCUAUUGCACACUUCAUAGUAUGGUAUAAAUAUAACUUUUACAUGUGCUGGGAAAUCAGAAAUUUGUGUAACUCACUUUAUUGCCAUAUUUGCUUUAUUGUGGUGGUCUGGAACUCAACCUGCAAUAUCUCUGAGAUAUGUUUGUAUAAUGUAAUACCUAUAGUGAAACAAGUUAUAUGAAAGAUACAUUCAAAACACUAUAGGUAAAUCCAAAUGAAAUUAUAGUGACCAGCCUGGGCAGCAUGGUGAAACUCUGUCUCUACUAAAAAUAGAAAAAUUAGCUGAGCAUGGUGGCACAUGCCUGUAAUCCCAGCUACUCGGGAGACUGAGGCAUUAUUGCUUGAAUCCCUGAGGCAGAGGUUGCAAUGAGCCGAGAUCGCACCACUGCACUCUAACCUGGGUGACAGAGCAAGAUUGUAUCUCCAAAAAAAAAAAAAAAAAAAUUAUAAAAAAUGUUCAAUUAACCCACAGCAGGAUAGGAAAAAAGAAGAUAUUGAAAGGAAAAGUAGGGAGCAGAAAUAAAGCCUAAAAUAAAAUGCAGAUCUAAAUACUAGCACAUCGAUAACUAAUUAAAUGCAGAUGUUCUAAAAUCACUAAUUAAAAAAGAGUGGCAAAUGGAUUUUAAAAUCAUGACAAUUACAGAAUAUUAAAAACUCUUCAAAUAUAAUGAUACAGGCAGGCUGAAAUUAAAAGAGUAGUAGAAAAAUAUAAAAUUCAGUCAUGAAUCAGACAAAAAUAGAAAUGACUAAAUUAAUUCCAGUAAAGUAGAUUUUGUAGCAAAGAAAUUACCAGAGAGAGAGAGGAAUAGUGUAUAAUGACAAAAGUGUCAGUCCACCACAAAGACAUUGCAAUGGUAGAUGGAGCAUGCACCAAGUAAUGUAAUUGAAAACAUGUGAAGCAAAAACUGAAAUAAAGAAAAAGAGACACAGACAUAUCCACAAUGAUGGAUAAAGACUUCAUACUUCUCUCAACAAUCGAUAGAAAAACUAGACAUAAAAUCAACAUGGAGAUAAGAACCCAACAAUACCAUCAACCAACAGAAUCUAAAUAACAUUUAUAAAAAUUCCACUCAACAUCAGCAGAAUACACAUUAUUUUCAAAUGUCCAUGGAACAAGUACCAAAAUCAGCCAUAUUCUGGGCCAUAAGACAGACCUCAACAAAUAGAAAAGAUUUGAGAUCAUGCAGAGAAUGUCUUCCAAACAUAAUGGUAUCAAAUUAGAAAUCACUAAUAGAAAUAAAACCAAAAAUAUCUCUUCACACUUGGCAACAAGACAACCUAUUACUAAAUAAUCCAUGAGUCAAAAAGGAAUUAUCAAGAGAAAGAAAAAAAUACAUCAAAUUGAAUGAAAGUUAAAACAUGUCAAAAUGUGUAGAACACAGUGAAAGCCAUGCUGAGAGGAAAAAUUAUAGCACUAAGUGCAUACAUUAGAAAAGAGUUUGAAAAGGCUCAAAACAAUAAUGUGAGCUUUCACCUCAAAAACCUAGUAAGUGACUAAAAAAUAAACCCAAAACAUUAUAAGUCAUUAGAGAAUUGCAAAUUAAAACAACAAUGAAAUACCAUUAUGCAAGCAUUAGAAUGAAUAAAAAUCCAAAAACUGACAAUACUAAAUGCUGUUAAGGAUGUGGAACAAUAGGAACUCUCCUUCAUUGCUAGCAGUAAUGCAAAAUUGUACAGCUAAUUUAGGAGAUCAUUUGGUGGUUUCAUAUGAAACUAAACAUAGUCUUACCACACAACCCAGCAAUUGCCUACUUAGAUAAUUAUCCUGAUGAGUUGAAAACUUAUGUCCACAUAAAAACUUGCGUAUGAAUGUUUACAUCAGUUUUAUUCUUAAUCACCAGAAUCUGAAAGCUAACCAAAAUAUUUUUUAGUAGAUGAAUAAACUCUAGUACAUCCAUAAAAUUGAAUAUAAUUGUAGAUAAUAUUAAUGAACUAUAUAUUAUAUAAUUCCAACUGCAUGACAAUCUUGAAAAAAGCAAAACUAUGGAGACCUUAAAAAGAUCUGUGGUUUCCAGAAGUUGAGGUGGGGUAUCAGGGAGGACAGGAGGGAUAAAUAGAUGGAACAUAUGAGAUUUUUAGGAUGAUGAAACUGUGCUGUGUGGUGGAUAUAAGGCAUGCAUUAGUCAAAACCUAUAGAAGAGUACCACACAAAAAAAGUAAACCUUAAUAUAAACUACCAACUUCACUUAAUAAUAAUGUAAUAGUAUUGGCUCAUUAAUUGUAACAAAUGCAUCAUUCUAUACUAUGCAAAAUGUUAAUAGAGGAAAUUAUAUGGGAGUGGGGGAGUAUUAUCUGCACAAUAUUUUUGCUCUAAAAUGUUGAGGUAGAUUUGUACCUGAUUUGUUGAGAGGUUUUAUCAUGAAGGGAUGUCAAAUUUUGUCAAAUCCUUCUUCUGGCUUAUUGAGAUGGUCAUAUGAUUUUUACUCUUUAUUCUAUUAAUACGUUACAUUUAUGAUUUGCAUACAUUAAACCAUUCUUGCAUCCUUGGGAUCGAUCUUACUUGUUCAUGGUGAAUAAUCUUUUUAAUGUGCUAUUGACUUUUGUUUGCUAGUGUUUUGUUGAGUAUUUUUGCAUCUAUGUUCAUUAGCAAUAUUAGCCUGUUUUUUUCUUUUUUAUUGAAAGCUUUCCCUCUAAGAUUUGGAAGAAGACAAGGAUGCCCAUUUUCACAACUCCUUGACAUAGUAGUGAAAGUCCUUUCUACAGCAAUUAGGCAAAAGAAAGAAAUAAAAUACAUCCAAAUAGGAAAGGAGGAGGAAGUCAAAUUGUCCCUAUUUGCAGAUGACAUAAUCUUACACAUAGAAUACUCUAAAGACUCCACCAAAAACCUGUUAGAACUAAUAAACAAAUACAGUAAAAAUGCAGGAUAUAAGAUUGAUAUAAAAAAUCAGUGGUGUUUUUAUACACCAAUGGUGAACUAUCUGAGAAAGAAAAGAAGAAAGUAAUUCCAUUUACAGUUGCUACAAAUAAAUAAAUACCUAUGAAUAAAUCUAACCAGGGAGGUAAAAUACCUCUACAAUGAAAACUGUAAAACUGAUUAAAUGAGUUAAAGGGGAUAAAAAUUAAUGGAAAGAUAUUUGAUGCUCAUGAAUUGGAAGGAUUAAUAUUAUUAAAUGUUCAUACUGCUUAAGACAAUCUACAGAUUCAAUACAGUCCUUAUCAAAAAUUCCAGUGUCAUUCUUCACAGAAAUAAAAAAGAACAAUCCUAAAAUUUGUAUGAAAUAAAAAAAGACCCCAAAUAGCCAAAACAAUCUUGAGCAAAAAGAACAAAGCUGUAGGCAUUACACUACCCAAUUUUAAAAUCAAAUCUAUAGUAACCAAAACAGCAUGAUAUUGGCAUAAAAAUACAUACACAGAUCAAUGGUACAAAAUAGAAAGCUCAGAAACAAAUCCAUGCAUUUACAACCAAUUGAUUUUCAAUAAAGUUGCCAAGAACACACAAUGGGAAAAUAAAUGGUGCUGGGAAAACUGGAUAUCCACAUGCAAAAGAAUGAAACUUGACCCUAUCUCUCAUGAUAUACAAAAAUCUACUCGAAAUAAUCUACUCUUAAAUAUAAGACUCAAACUAUAAAAUUAAUACAAAAAAGGGGGUGAACACUACAUGAUAUCAGUCUGGACAUGGAUUUUUUAGACAAGACCUCAAAAGAAAGAACAACAAAAACAAAAAUCAACAAAAACAAAAAUAAACAAAUAGGACAACAUCAAACUAAAAAAGUUCUGCACAGCAAAGGAAAAAAUCAACAGCAUGAAGAAGCAACCAUAGAAUGAGAGAAAACAUUUCCAUGUUAUAUACCUUACAAAGAGUUAAUACCCAGAAUUUAUAAGAACUCAACUCAAUGGCAAAAACAACUAAUUCAAUUUAAAAGUAGACAGAGCAAGACUCUGUCUCAAAAUAAAUAAAUAAAUAAAUAAAUAAAUAAAAGUAGACAAAAGACCUGUUUAGACAUAUCUUCAAAGAAGACAUACAAAUGGCCAACAAGUUUAUGAAAAAAUGCUCAACAUCAGCAACCAUCAGGAAAAUGCAAAUCAAAACCACAAUGUGAUAUCACCUCACCCCAGUUAAAAUAACUAUUACGAAAAAAAACAAAAAAUAACAAUGCUGUUGAGGAUAUGGAAAAAUGGGAACCCUUAUAGAUUGUUAGUGGGAAUGUAAAUUAAUACAGCCUUUAUGGAAAACAGUAGGACAUUCCUCAAAAAAUUAAAAUCAGAUCUACCGUAUCACCCAGCAGUCCCAUUACUGGGUAUAUAUCCAAAAGAAAUACAAUCAGUAUGUCAAAAAGAGAUCUCAUGUUUAUUGCAGGACUAUUCACAAUAUCCAAGAUGUGGAAUCAAAUUAAAGACCCACCAAUUAAUAAAUGGAUAAGGAAAAUGUGGUAUGUGUAUAUAUAUAUAUAUAUAUAUAUAUAUACACACACAAUGGAAUAUUAUUCAGCCACACAAAAUAAUAAAAUUGUGUCAUUGUGCAACAUGGAUAAGCCUGAAGGACAUUAUGUUAAGUAAAUUAAGCCAGGCACAGAAAGACAAAUGCCACAUGAUCCCAUUCAUAUGUAAUACCUAAAAAAAUUGAUCACAAAAAAGUUCAGAGUAGAAUAGUUGUUACCAGAGAGUUAGGAGAAUACAAGAAAAAGGGAGAUGGGGAGGGGCUGGUCAUUGGGUACAAUGUUACAGCUGGAUAAGAAUAAGAAGUUCCAUUACUUUAUAGCACAACAGGGUGACUGUAGCUAACAAUAAUGCAUUGUAUAUUUCAAAUAGCGAGGAAAGAGGUUUUUGAAUGUUCUUAUAACAAUGAAAUGGGCCAGGUGCAAUAUGAGAGGCUUGAGCGUUGCUUAAGGCAGAGUUCAAGAUCAGUCUGGGCAACAUAGCAAGCCCCCAUCUUAGGUUUGUUUGUAUGCACCUGUAGUCCCAGCCAUUCAGGAGGCUGAGGUGGGAGGAUCACUUGAGCCAGGAAGGUUGAGGCUACAAUGAGCUAUGAUCAUGCUGCCGCACCCCAGUCUGGGCAACAGAACUAGAUCCUAUCUCACAAACAAACAAACAAAGAUACAAUACAUGUUUAAAGUGAUGGAUAUGCUAAUUAUCACGAUUUUAUCAUUACACAACAUAUAUAUAUGGCAACAUUACGUUGUAAUACAUGUAAACAUGUGCAAUUAUUUUUUGUCAAAAAAGAAUAAAGAUGUGUUGUCAAAAACAUGUAAAAAUAAAUAAAAAUAUAAUCUACUAAGUAAAAAGACUUAAUUAAAAUUCAACAUACAUUCAUAAUUAAAAGCUCAAAUAAUGAAAUAGAGGAUAAUUUUCUCACCUUGAUACAAAGCAUCAGCUGAAAAGCUGCAACUAACAUUAUACUGACUGGGGAGAAUUGAUACUUUCUCCUCAAGAUCAGGUACAGAAACAGGAUGUUAAUUCUCACCACUUUUAGUCAACUUAGUGCUGGAAGUUCUGGUAAGUACAAUAGGGCAAGAUAAAGAAAGCUGAAAGACUACAGAUCAGGAUGUAAUAUAUAAAAUCAUCCCAUUUGCGGAAGGCACAAUUGUCUUCUACAUAGAAAAUUCCAAUGAAUCUACAAAAAUCUUGUACAAACUAACAACUAAUAACUAAUCAGCAAGGUCAUAGGACAAAAAAUAUGCAAAAAUUAAUUUUAAUUCUACAUAUUUGCAAUAAACACAUGAACCCCAACACUUAAAAUACAAUUAUAAUCCCUCAAAAAUAAAAAUGUAGGUAUAAAUCUAACAAAACAUUUACAGAAAUUAUAUAUUAAAAUUAUACAACACUAAUGUAUUAAUUUCCUUUUGCUGCUGUAACAAAUGACCACAAACAUAGUGGCUUAAACCAAUACAAGUUUAUCAGAACUCUAGAGAUCAUAUGUCUUAAAUACGUUUCAUGAGACCAAAAUCAAUGCAUUGGCAGGCAUGGAUUCCUUCUGGAAGCUCUUUGGGAGACUGCAUUUCUUCACCUUUUCCAGCUUCUAGGGGCUGCUUCCAUUCCUUGGCACGUGGCUCCAGCUAGCAGUUUCAUCACUCUGAUCUCUGCUUCCAUAGUCACAUCUACUUCUCUGUAUCCUCUGCCUCCCUUUUUCACUUAAAGAAACAUUACAAGUACAUUGGACCUACAAGAAUAAUACACGAUAAUCUCACUAUUUCUUUAUUUCUCUUCCUUCCUUCUUUCCUUCCUUCCUCUUUCUUUCUUUUUCUUUCUUUCUUUCUCUUUCUUUCUUUCUUUCUUUCUUUCUUUCUUUCUUUCUUUCUUUCUUCUUUCUCUCUCUCUCUUUCUUUCUUUCUUUUCUUUCUUUCUUUUCUCUCUUUCUUUCUCUUUCUCCCUUCUUUCUUUCCUUCCUUCCUUCCUUCCUUUCUUUCUUUUUUUCUUUUGACAGAGUCUUGCUCUUUUGCCCAGGUUGGAGUGCAGUGACAGGAUCUCGGCUCACUGCAAGCUCUGCCUCCCAGGGUUCACGCCAUUCUCCUGCCUCAGUCUCCUGAGUAGCUGGGACUAAAGGCGCCCACCACCACGCCUGGCUAAUUUUUUUGUAUUUUUAGUAGAGAUGGGGUUUCAUCGUGUUAGCCAGGAUGGUCUCGAUCUCCUGACUUCGUGAUCCACCUGCCUCAGCCUCCCAAAGUGCUGGGAUUACAGGUGCAAGCCAUAAUCUCACUAUUUCAACAUCCUGACUUAAUCAGAUCUGCAAAGUCCUUUUUGCAAUGUAGUUAAUUUUUAUUCACAGGUUUCAGGGAUCAGUUCAUGAACAUCUCAGAGUGGCCAUCAUUCUGUCUACUAGAGCUAAUGAAAAGUAAGAGCAGUUUUACAUAAAUGAAGAGCUAUACCAUGUUCAUGGUUCGACAGGCUCAGCAUGGUAAAAAUGUCAAUCUCCUCCAAAUUUGAUACACAGGUGUCACACAAUUUCAAUCAAAAUCCCAGGAAGAAUUUUUGCAGAUACAGAAAGAUUCUUCUAAAAUGUAUAUGGCAAGACAGAGAAACAAAUAUAGUUAAAACAAUUUUGGAAAAGAAGAAUUUAUCUACCUAAUUUCAAGGUUUAUUAUAUAACUACACUAAUCAAGACAAAAUGGUUUUGGAAGAAGAACACACACAUAGAUAAAUUUACCAGAAUAGAGAAACCAAAACUAAAUCCAUCCAAAUUUGCCCACCUGAUUUUUGACAAAGAUUCAAGAGCAAUUCAGUGGAGGACAGGUAGCCUUUUAAACAAAUACUGGAGCAAUUGAAGAUUCAUAAGCAAAACUACAGCUCACAUGUUACACAAAAAGCAACUCAAAAUUGAAUUACAAACUUAAAUGUAAAACAAACAAAAAAAAACUGUGAAACUUUCAGAAAGAAAGGAGAAAAUCUUUAGAACCAAGGGACAAAAAGAGUUCUUACACUGGCAUAAAAAUAUCAUCCAUAAAAAUUAAUAAAUUGGACCUCAAGAUGAUUAAAAACUUUUGCUCUGUGAAAAUGGCUAUGAGGUUAUGAGGGUAAAAAUAUAAGUACAGAUGGGGAGAAAAUAUUUGCAAACCACAAAGAGAGUAAGAUUUUGUUAUUUUAAGCCACUAAAUUUGUGGCAAUUUGUUAUGGCAGCAAUAAAAUACUGAUACAGUCUCUUUGAGAAAUAGUGCCAUAUCAGGGGCUUAAUUUUGUUCUCUCCUGACUCCUUGGACAUUCAGAGGCAGCAGUAGCCACUGGCCUUGGAGAAUGCUAGCUAGAGGGAAACUAGGGGCAUCCAUUCAGAUGCCCCUCUUAUAUUUUAGGAUUCCAGGUUUUUCCAUCGAUGAUCCUGAUGAUGGCAGAACAGACCUGCCUUGGCUGAGUAUUUUAAAAAAUCUCUCUGUGGAUUUAUGAAUCUAUCAGAUCUACAAUAUGGUGCUAUAAAUAAUGGUGUAUUUAUCAGCUACUAAAGAGGACCUGUGGCUCUCAAUACUCAGCUUUUAAUGAUUGUUAAAAUUUUCCAUAUCUGAGUAUUCCCCUGCAGAGCAUCAGCACAACUUAGCAAUAAUCGGUCAACUCUGCUGUGUUUGUAGUUGUCGCUCCCUCCUCCCUCUAUCUCUUUCAUAUUCCUGGUUCCUUACACCUGCCACAGUAUUCUCUUCCAUAGAGGCAUUUUUCCUGGUCACCAUUGGUGCAAUAUUUAGCACUUUGUGCCAGGCACUCUGUGCGCCACACCCACUACUUAGGGUGGUAUCUUUACCCAGCAGACUGUGAUGGGCCAGUCCCAAAUCCCCAUUUUACCACUUGUUUUCUCAGACCUCUCCUGGUACCACUUGUGCUACUCAAGAUCUGCUGAGAAGUGCAAGAUAUUUAUUAGGAGAGGGAGAAGGAGAAAGAAGGGUCUUCAGACCAUGAAGUAGAUCUGAUACCCGAGGAAGAAGAAAGGGAAAGAAAGAUUAAAGAAGAGGAGCUUGGACUGAAGCACCAAUCUAAGCAAGGGUUGGCCUGGCUAGUGAGGGAUCCUCAGACGAAUGCCUGCAGGAGUCCUCCAUCUCAUUGGAAUGAACCUGUCUUACCCAUCCCACCGUGUUCAGUCAUUAGCUGCUAGCAGGCCCCCGGGUGAAACAUAGCCUUGGUGCAAAUGCAGUGGUAGAUCCAGAGGGACUGCAGCUGGGGCAGUCAUUUAUGGUCCCAGCAGGAGAUGUGAGAGGUGCAUUUUCAUGGUCCCCAUAGGCAACUGUCCUGAGAAGUUUUUCUCCAAGCGGUGAUUCAGAGAUCCAGAUUCCUUCUACCAAAUCCCCACUACCUCUUCAGAGUCUCCCCUUCAGAGACAUGGCUAACUCAACUGAUCUAUCAGGUGUUCUGUGUUAGGCCACCAAAGAGCAAAGGGAAAAUUAGAUUUCAUGGGAGACUUUUUAGGGACCAAGACUGGAAGUGGUAAACGUAAAUUCUACACACAUUUUAUGGCCCAAACCUGCCAAAUAUCCCCUUCUAAGCACUUUUGGUGAAGACAUAAUGGUGUUUCUGCCACAUGGGAGAUCUUAAAUGUUACUGAGAUGUAUGAUAGCUCAGCUGUGUUGUUGCCAUUCCUGCUGUGUUGUCUAGCCUAUAUUUGUUCUUAUGCAUGGAACUGGUUGAAUCCUGUGUGUCUCUGAAGUUUUAAAACCAGUUUAAAUCUCAAGACUAGUAUUAUAGAACAGAGUAUUUUAGUUUUGUUUAUCUCAGUCCUAACCCAUCCUCUCUAUCUUUCAUGAGGGCCAUCCUCCAACAUUAAGAGCAUCCAUCCUCAUGUUUUACAAGGAAGUGUGUUCUUUCCCUAGGAGCAAUUCUAUUUCUAGUCAUUAAGCCAGCAUUUUUGCUUUCUCUCCAGUAUAUGUACAGAUUUUUAAUGGAAAUAUUCUGGAGCAGUAUGCCAAAAUAUGUUAACAUAAGACUUUU
This 14297-nucleotide long non-coding RNA is filed under the name Homo sapiens (human). RNAcentral's name for it is "non-protein coding lnc-C8orf34-1:5". Lineage: Eukaryota; Metazoa; Chordata; Mammalia; Primates; Hominidae. The record is from RNAcentral.